Molecule: long non-coding RNA, 1060 nt
Organism: Bombyx mori (domestic silkworm)
Lineage: Eukaryota; Metazoa; Arthropoda; Insecta; Lepidoptera; Bombycidae
Exons: 3
Source: RefSeq, a predicted model, not a curated record
GAGCCAAACCACUGCUUACUGUUAAGCACUCUCCACCAGCCUAGUUUGAAGAAGGACACCGUGGAGGGGAGUUCAUUCCAAAACCAGAUGGUACGUGGCAAAAAAGAUCUCUGGAAACGCACUGUGAAUGAGCGCAGUGGCUCCAGGUAGUAUGGAUGAACUUUACUCAGGUGUCGGGCGGUGCGAUGGUAAAAACGAGAUGAUGGGUUCAUCUCAAACAAUUCCUCAGAGCACUCUACAGAUCUUAUAUCUACAGAACAUUUCCAGAUAUAUAUUAUUUCAUGUACUACCAGGCUUUUGAUAGAACUCAACUCCUCAGUGCUUCUGCAAGGAUACGAUACGUCACUGUGAAAGGUUUCUAUGAACUGACAGUGGCUUGACCUCUCUUUUUUAACAUGGUAAAUAUAUCACAUUCAAUAUUAUCGUACGUUUUAAUUAUAAUGUGUGCUUUUAUAAAUAAAAUUAUUUUCACAGAAUAUGACAAUCGCCCAUUGUAUUUCUUUAUCGGAUACUAUAAUAAGUACCUACCGUUUUUUUAAGCACAGUUUUGUUUUGUAUAUUGUGAGAUCUGGUUCAGAAGAUAACAAUAGCCAUAUCCUACAAAAAAUUCCAAGACUGAAGAUUGAAGUCGUCGUGGUCUAAGGGAGAUGUCCUACCACCAGUAAAAAAUGAUCGUGAUGAUCGCAACGGGGCGGGAUCUACUAACCGACAGUUCCGUUGACGUAGUUGUCGAUGGCGUUGGCCUGCACCGCGCGCGUGACGCCCUGCCUGAACCUCAUGGCGAGCACGCUGGGGUGUCGGCGCAGCCACCACAGCGCCGCCUUGCCCCCCGCCAGCCGCGUGCAGUGGAUGCGCGACUGCUGCCCCGCACCGAUGCCGAUCACCUAGGUUCAACACCAUGAUUUAGUAGCAUGAGAGAGAGAGAGAGAGAGAGAGAGAGAGAGAGAGAGAGAGAGAGAGAGAGAGAGAGAGAGAGAGAGAGAGAGAGAGAGAGAGAGAGAGAGAGAGAGAGAGAGAGAGAGAGAGAGAGAGAGAGAGAGAGAGAGAGAGAGAGAGAGAG